This 558-nucleotide ribosomal RNA is filed under the name Triticum aestivum (bread wheat). Its description in RNAcentral is "partial small subunit ribosomal RNA". Lineage: Eukaryota; Viridiplantae; Streptophyta; Magnoliopsida; Poales; Poaceae. The record is from RNAcentral.
AUGGUGGCAACCGAGCAAAUGGCAGACGGCGUGCGGCGUCAGAUCCGGAACCAGAGGUGGAAGGCGAGGAGGAGCAGCGCCGAGGCGACGACGAAGACGAUUAGGAGCAGCGCCGAGGCGACGGUGGAGACGAUGAGGAGCAGUGCCGAGGCGACGGCGGAGACGAUGAGGAGCAGCGCCGAGGCGACGACGGAGAUGAUGAGAAGUCGCGGCCGCGUCGACCCCCCUAGGCCACGCCGCCCGCGCCGACCCCCCUGGGCCACGCCGCCCGCGCCGACCCCCUGGGCCACGCCGCCCGUGCCGCGUGCCAUAUGCCGCCGCCUUUGCCUCGCCUCGCCAUUCCUCCUUCCCUCUCGUGGGAACCGGGGCCGGGGCGGGGCGUUAAGGUUUUGGCGGCGCCAGAUCGGAGGGAUGGGAGGAGGAGGACGUGAGGAGAGGAGGAGGACGACGGCGGGGAAGGAGGCAGCAGUGGCGGUGCUAGGGGCGGGAGGAAGAGGAAGGGAGGCGGGUGCGUGGGAGGGAGGGAGGCGGCUGCGGGACGGAGGAGGAGCCGGCUAG